RNAcentral lists this ribosomal RNA (253 nucleotides) under uncultured bacterium. Its description in RNAcentral is "partial 16S ribosomal RNA". It matches the Rfam family "Bacterial small subunit ribosomal RNA", at positions 524 to 776 of the family's 1533-position model. The record is from RNAcentral.
UACGGAGGGGGCAAGCGUUAUUCGGAAUUACUGGGCGUAAAGCGUGCGCAGGCGGUUUUGUAAGUCAGAUGUGAAAUCCCCGGGCUUAACCUGGGAACUGCGUUUGAAACUACAAGGCUAGAGUGUGGCAGAGGGGGGUGGAAUUCCACGUGUAGCAGUGAAAUGCGUAGAGAUGUGGAGGAACACCGAUGGCGAAGGCAGCCCCCUGGGUUAACACUGACGCUCAGGCACGAAAGCGUGGGGAGCAAACAGG